UACGUAGGGGGGCAAGCGUUGUCCGGAUUUAUUGGGCGUAAAGCGCGUGUAGGCGGCCACGCAGGUCCGCUGUGAAAACUCGAGGCUCAACCUCGAGCUGUCGGUGGAAACCGCGUGGCUAGAGUCCGGAAGAGGGGACUGGAAUUCCCGGUGUAGCGGUGGAAUGCGCAGAUAUCGGGAGGAACACCCGUGGCGAAGGCGGGUCCCUGGGACGGUACUGACGCUGAGACGCGGAAAGCGUGGGAGCGAACGAGGAGAUUGAU
This 263-nucleotide ribosomal RNA is filed under the name uncultured bacterium. RNAcentral describes it as "partial 16S ribosomal RNA". It matches the Rfam family "Bacterial small subunit ribosomal RNA", at positions 524 to 783 of the family's 1533-position model. The record is from RNAcentral.